RNAcentral lists this ribosomal RNA (484 nucleotides) under uncultured organism. Its description in RNAcentral is "bacterial SSU rRNA". It matches the Rfam family "Bacterial small subunit ribosomal RNA", at positions 28 to 507 of the family's 1533-position model. The record is from RNAcentral.
GAUGAACGCUAGCGGCAGGCUUAACACAUGCAAGUCGAGGGGCAGCACGGGUAGCAAUAUCUGGUGGCGACCGGCGCAAGGGUGCGUAACGCGUGAGCAACAUGCCCGUAUCAGGGGAAUAAUCCAGGGAAACUUGGUCUAAUACCCCAUAGCAAUUGGAGGAGGCAUCUUUUUCAAUUUAAAGCUUUGGUGGAUACGGAUUGGCUCGCGUGACAUUAGCUAGAUGGUAAGGUAACGGCUUACCAUGGCUACGAUGUCUAGGGGUUCUGAGAGGAAGAUCCCCCACACUGGAACUGAGACACGGUCCAGACUCCUACGGGAGGCAGCAGUGAGGAAUAUUGGACAAUGGAUGGAAAUCUGAUCCAGCCAUGCCGCGUGCAGGAAGACGGCCCUAUGGGUUGUAAACUGCUUUUGUAUGGGAGCAAUAAGGUCUAUGCGUAGACUGAUGAGAGUACCAUACGAAUAAGCAUCGGCUAACUCCGUG